This is an RNA transcript of Theobroma umbraticum, 3172 nucleotides long. RefSeq lists it as uncharacterized. The record is from RefSeq and is a predicted model, not a curated record. Lineage: Eukaryota; Viridiplantae; Streptophyta; Magnoliopsida; Malvales; Malvaceae.
UACUUUUUUUCUUCUUUCAAUUCUAUAGCAUUCCGUCUCCAGAUGGCUAAAAAAAUUAGAAAGAUUAAUAUAUCCCUCAGCAACAUGAACAACCAAGCCAAUCUGUUUGGACUCCAGAGGAGAGUUACUGAUAUGAUUGUUCUACCUAGAGGAAACCAAGUGACCCACUCCUUUCUUGGAGAUUCAUCACAAGUUAUUGGAAGGGAAGAUGAUGUCUCAAAAGUAGUCGACUUGUUGAUCCACUCAACUUGUCUGCAACCCCUCCCUGUUGUAUCUAUAAUUGGCAUGCCAGGUCUUGGAAAAACUACAUUAGCAAAAUUAGUGUGCAAACAUGAGCAAGUAAAAAAAUAUUUUAGUAAAAUAAUCUGGGUGUGUGUAUCUGAUGAUUUUAAUGUUGAAAGGAUUUUACUCGAGAUGCUGGAAUCUCUUACCCAAAACUCGUGUGCAAUAAAAAAUAAAGAUACUCUACUCAGAAAAAUGCAUGGAGAACUGGCAGGGGAUAAUUAUCUUCUUAUACUUGAUGACGUAUGGAAUGAGGAUAUAGAGAAGUGGGAGGACCUAAGAAAUUGCUUGAUGGGAGUAUCAGGAAAUGUAGAGAGUAGAAUUGUUGUGACAACCCGUAAGGAGAAUGUAGCAUUGGCGAUGGGAACACUUCCUGAAUAUAUGCAUCAUCCAGACAAACUUGUAGAUGAUGAGUGUUGGUCAAUAAUCAAAGGAAGAGCAUUUGGACACUCUUCCAUACCUCCAGAAUUGGAGGUUAUUGGAAAGGAUAUUGCUAAAAAGUGUGGAGGUCUGCCAUUGGUUGCAAGGGUUAUAGGUGCAACAUUGAGCAAUAAAAGUGACAAAGAUGAGUGGCUGUCAAUUAAAGAUAAUCCUGUUUGGGGUCCCCUAGAAAUGGAUAAUGGCAUUUUACGUGUACUUAAAUUGAGUUUUGAUUGCUUACCUUCUUCAUCCUUGAAGCAGUGUUUUGCAUAUUGCUCAAUUUUUCCUAAGGAUUUUGAAAUUAAAAAGGAACACUUAAUUCAGCUUUGGAUGGCUGAAGGGUUUCUUCAAUCACCUGAUGGAAGUUACACAGAGAUGGAAAUUAUGGGUAACAGGUUCUUUAAUGAAUUGUUAUUAAGUUCUUUGUUUCAAGAUGUGGAAAAGGAUGUGCAUGGGAAUAUUAAAACUUGCAAGAUGCAUGAUGUAAUUCAUGAUCUUGCCCUGUUUGUUUCAAAAGCUGAAACCUUGGUCUUAGAUGAGACUGGUCCCAUGAGCGACAGUUCUCAUAUUCGACGUCUGAGCAUCAUUUCUACCGGGAUAGAGGUCCCAACUAUUUCAGAAGAUGUUGCUACAAAGUUGCGGUCUUUGUUUUCAAACGCUGAUGUUCUGCACAGUAUGUCAAAUGAACCUAAAAGCUUACGUGUCCUAAGUUUUCGAGAUGCUAAGGUUGAGAAAUUGCCAGCUUUUCUUGGCAAAUUGAAGCAUUUAAGAUACCUUGACAUCUCAAGAACUAAAAUAAAAAAAUUACCAAAAUCUUUCACUCAGCUCUACAAUUUGCAGACUUUAAGCAUUAUGGACUGCUGUCUUGAGAGGCUUCCCAAAGGAAUAACAAAACUAGUUAGCUUGAGACAUAUUUAUUUUGAUAAAGAAAAGCUUAUGCCAGUUAAAGUUGGGUGCUUACCCUGUCUUCAAACAUUGCCAUUCUUUUUUGUGAGCAUCGAAAGUGGACGCAAAGUUGAAGAACUUGGGUUCCUGAGCCAACUUAGAGGAGAAUUAGAAAUAUACAACCUUGAACAUGUAAAAGACAAAGCAGAAGCCAUUAGAGCAAAGUUGCUAGAGAAGACUGAAGUUCAUAAGUUGGAAUUUUUGUGGAGCUACAGAAGGGAAGGCUACAGUAAUGACAAGGAAGUAUUGGAGGGCCUCAAGCCUAGCUCAAAUUUGAAAAGCUUAAAGAUUGUCAACUACUGGGGAGACAAGUUGCCUUCAUGGAUGCUUAUGAGUGUCCAUGAUUUUGGAUAUUCGUUUCUCGAUAAUCUGGUUUUCUUGAAAUUGAUAAAAUGCACGGAAUGCACAAAUAUUUCGGGUCUUGGGCACUUGUGCAAUCUGCAAAUUCUUGAAAUAGAUGGAAUGGAGAAGGUGAAAUGUAUAUAUAAGAAUUUAUGUAACAGCAACAUAGAAAGCAGUGAGACUACCACUCUAUUCCCAUCAUUGAGAAGAUUCAGCUUGGAGAAUAUGAAUAGCCUGGAGGAAUGGGUACAAGGUGUGGGUCCAGGUAUAGAAAGAAGUGAAGAUGUGGUCUUGUUUCCUCAACUAGAAGAGUUGAUUGUUUUGAGCUGUCCUAAGUUGAAGAGUGUUCCAACACAUAGAGGGUUUACGUUUCUUCAGGCAUUUCAUGUUUGCUACUGUGAUGAAUUGAGUAGUUUAAGGGAUGGACUAUCUGUCUCCACUUUUGUGAAGGAAUUAAGAUUGUGGAAUUGUUGUAGUCUUAUCUCCGUUCCCAAAGAUAUAGGGGAAUUGCGAUCUCUUAUUUAUUUAGAAAUAUCUUUUUGUCCAAAAUUGACAAGCAUUCCAGAGGAGAUCUUUGGUUACCUCACCAGUCUGAAGGAAUUGAGAAUUGGCUUUUUCUCAGAAGAGCUAGAGGAAUUCCCAGGUCUCAGUUCGAUCCACCUUCUCUGUGCAUCCCUUGAAUGUCUGUUCUUAUUUGGAUGGAAAAAGCUAAAGUCCCUGCCACCUCAACUACAACACCUUGUUGCCCUUAAAUCUUUUGUAAUAUGUUUCUUUGAUGGUAUGGAAUCCUUGCCAGAGUGGCUGGGAAACUUCUCAUCACUUCAGAAACUUCGAAUUGAAAAAUGUAACAGUCUGAUGCAUCUGCCCUCUAUGGAAGCCAUGCAAUGCCUCUCCAAAUUACAGAGACUUGAAAUUAAUAGGUGUCCAAUAUUGGCAGAAAGAUGCAUCGAGGAGAGCAGGCCUGAAUGGCACAAGAUUGCUCACAUUCCAUACAUUCAAAUUAAUUGGCAACACAUUAAACAUUGACCAGCUUCGAUUAAGUGCUAAUGUUAAUGGGAGGAUGACAGAGAGUUUAACGGGCCAUGGAGGCUUCAGAUUGCUUGGGAAGCUUGGCCAGAGUGCUCAAGGGAAUCUAUUUGCGGAGUUGGAAGCUUUUCCUGAAUGCUGAAGAAACCUCUCAUCU